RNAcentral lists this ribosomal RNA (371 nucleotides) under uncultured bacterium. Its description in RNAcentral is "bacterial SSU rRNA". It matches the Rfam family "Bacterial small subunit ribosomal RNA", at positions 527 to 896 of the family's 1533-position model. The record is from RNAcentral.
GUAGGGGGCGAGCGUUAUCCGGAUUUACUGGGCGUAAAGAGCGUGUAGGCGGCUUCCAAAGUUGGCAGUGAAAGGUCCUGGCUUAACUGGGAUAUGCCUGCCAAUACUGGGGAGCUAGAGGGCAGCAGAGGAAAGUGGAACUCGCGGUGUAGCGGUGAAAUGUGUAGAUAUCGCGAGGAACACCAGUGGCGAAGGCGGCUUUCUGGGCUGUUCCUGACGCUGAGACGCGAAAGCGUGGGGAGUGAAGCGGAUUAGAUACCCGCGUAAUCCACGCCCUAAACGGUGGAUACUAGGUAUGGGGGGUAUCGACCCUCUCCGUGCCGAAGCUAACGCCUUAAGUAUCCCGCCUGGGGACUACGGCCGCAAGGUUA